GCCUAUGGGUAUCCAUCUUGCUGGUGGCUACCUAAGCAGGGUUCCACUGCUUUGUACCUGAUGCUAUUCUCUCUGAGGAGAGAUGAGAUUACAACCAACUACCUCCUAAUUUCUGUUCCAGGUGCUCAGUUCUGCUUUCCAUAUUCUGAAUAAGAUAAUGCUUCAAUAACCUCAGCAACUCUAUACAAUUAAAAAACACUGCAAUGUUCAGCUUCUCAUGGGAAAACUGGUGAAAGGAGGAUAAAGACCCAGUGAAGAUCUUGACAAGGAUUUUGGCAAGAAGAUUGAGCAAGACAAAGAUUUAUUGCUUCCAGGAAAGAACAGUGACAGCUCUCACUUUUGCCUCCCACCUUGGAGUUUGGAGUGAUGUGGGGGCACUGAAAGAGAAAGUAAACUGCAUAAUGGUACAUGAAGUGGUUGAGCUACAUCUACCUGAGCAAAAUUUUGACCAAGACUGGUUGUCUACCCAAAGGAAAUUUCAAAAACCAGUUAUGAGAACCCAGCCCAGCUUUGAAUGGUGAAUAUUUAUUCUCCCUCCAAACCAGCCAAAAUUCCUCACUGUGAUAAAAUUUUCUGCUUAUGACAAUGUUACCAGAUUACCUAUUUGGAAUCCUUCUGUCAACUUCAAAACCAUCAGUUCCCCCCCUCAAACUCACACGGGACAGGACAGAGGAGGGAGAAAUUCCUACCUGAGCCACCUCCUGUCCCCUCUCAUUUUUCUCUCUCAGCAGCACCAGGACCCACUUCAACUCAGGAAGUUGCCUGGGAGCAGCAUGCCUCAGUCCUCAACUAUUUCUCAGGCCCAAGCUAGAUUGAACGGUGACUGCUUCACAUGUUGAAACACAGAACUACCCUGAUAAUGCAGAAAGGGGUGGAGUGGGUUGUGUGUCCAAUAUUAAAAGCAACCAACAUUACAAGCAA
Long non-coding RNA from Rhineura floridana, 921 nucleotides. RefSeq lists it as uncharacterized. NCBI's taxonomy places the organism in Eukaryota, Metazoa, Chordata, Lepidosauria, Squamata, Rhineuridae. The transcript is spliced from 4 exons. The record is from RefSeq and is a predicted model, not a curated record.